GAUGAACGCUGGCGGCGUGCCUAAUACAUGCAAGUCGAGCGGACCAAAGAGAGCUUGCUCUCUGAGGUUAGCGGCGGACGGAUGAGUAACACGUGGGUCACCUGCCUGUAAGACGGGGAUAACUUCGGGAAACCGAAGCUAAUACCGGAUGAUAAAGAGAAACGCCUGUUUCUUUUUUGAAAGUCGGCCUUGUGCUGACGCUUACAGAUGGGCCCGCGGCGCAUUAGCUAGUUGGUGAGGUAACGGCUCACCAAGGCGACGAUGCGUAGCCGACCUGAGAGGGUGACCGGCCACACUGGGACUGAGACACGGCCCAGACUCCUACGGGAGGCAGCAGUAGGGAAUCUUCCACAAUGGGCGAAAGCCUGAUGGAGCAACGCCGCGUGAGUGAUGAAGGCCUUCGGGUUGUAAAACUCUGUCUUCUGGGACGAACGGCCAAGAGAGGGAAUGCUCUUGGAUUGACGGUACCAGAGGAGGAAGCCACGGCUAACUACGUGCCAGCCGCCGCCGUAA
Molecule: ribosomal RNA, 513 nt
Filed under: uncultured bacterium
Lineage: Bacteria
Description: partial 16S ribosomal RNA
Rfam family: Bacterial small subunit ribosomal RNA
Source: RNAcentral